AGCCAUGAGCUGUGAAAUAUGUUUGCAGUUUGAGUUUGAGAAGUUUUCGAUCGCUUUGCGCAGCGGGGAUCGAAAACUUCUCCAACUCAAACUGCAAACAUAUUUCACAGCUCAUGGCU
This 119-nucleotide microRNA precursor is filed under the name Anopheles coluzzii. Its description in RNAcentral is "microRNA mir-190". The record is from RNAcentral. Lineage: Eukaryota; Metazoa; Arthropoda; Insecta; Diptera; Culicidae.